AACGAACGCUGGCGGCAUGCCUAACACAUGCAAGUCGAACGAAGUCUUCGGACUUAGUGGCGCACGGGUGCGUAACGCGUGGGAAUCUGCCCUUGGGUGCGGAAUAACUUCUCGAAAGGGAUGCUAAUACCGCAUAAUGUCGUAAGACCAAAGAUUUAUCGCCCAAGGAUGAGCCCGCGUAAGAUUAGCUAGUUGGUGGGGUAAAAGCCUACCAAGGCGACGAUCUUUAGCUGGUCUGAGAGGAUGAUCAGCCACACUGGGACUGAGACACGGCCCAGACUCCUACGGGAGGCAGCAGUGGGGAAUAUUGGACAAUGGGCGAAAGCCUGAUCCAGCAAUGCCGCGUGAGUGAUGAAGGCCCUAGGGUUGUAAAGCUCUUUUACCCGAGAUGAUAAUGACAGUAGUCGGGAGAAUAAGCUCCGGCUAACUCCGUGCCAGCA
RNAcentral lists this ribosomal RNA (440 nucleotides) under uncultured bacterium. RNAcentral's name for it is "bacterial SSU rRNA". It matches the Rfam family "Bacterial small subunit ribosomal RNA", at positions 29 to 513 of the family's 1533-position model. The record is from RNAcentral.